RNA transcript from Triticum aestivum (bread wheat), 1896 nucleotides. RefSeq lists it as uncharacterized. NCBI's taxonomy places the organism in Eukaryota, Viridiplantae, Streptophyta, Magnoliopsida, Poales, Poaceae. The record is from RefSeq and is a predicted model, not a curated record. The transcript is spliced from 10 exons.
UAUUUGCAUGCGGCUAAGAAAAAACAACAAAGACGUUCACAAGAUAUGCUAACAAGAUCUGGCACCGGACACAUAGCCCUUGGCUUUCUCCGGGAGGACCCCAGCGCGCGCGUGCGUUGCUGCUAGUGCACCAGCACUUCGCCGGCCACACAGUGGAGGACCCCGACGCGCGUGUUGCUGCUGCCGCUGGUGUGCUGUUCAUGGCCGCGACGGCUCGCUCCUGUGCCUUCCGGCGUCCAUGGUCGCCAUGCAGAAGCUCACGACCACCACAUCCACAUCCUGACGCCCCCGCCAUGGUCACCACAUCCGUCUCUUGCCGUCGUUGGUGACGCCGUGAUCACGGCGACCUCUCCAUGGCCGGUCCUCUCGGUCCUGUCGGUCCGGCUCGGGCUUCGUCGCCGCCGGUCCGGUCCCUGGAAACAGGACCGCGAGGCUGGUCGGUCCGGUCCGGCUCGGUCCGCCGGCGGCCGGUCCAACUGGCGGCUCGGUCAAGGCCCGGACCGUGUCCACCCUGACUCACCACCACGGACGUCGGAACUGCUCCAAUGGAAAGGUUGGAUGCUCACAUGGAAGAAGUGAUCUGAUUUUGCUCUCUCUCAUCUCUCUUUGUAGAUUUUUGUUCAUGCUGGGAUGUGUUCAAGUGUUGAUUUUUGUUCAUGUGUGGAAGCUGGGCUGUGUCUAUAUGUACAUUUUUGUUCAUGCAAGAAUUUUUUUAUUUACACUCAUUAGAUUAUGUUAUUCUCAUGUGUAGCUCGUCAUUUAUCCAAAAUAUUGUUCUUCCAUUUGGGGCUUUAGUUGCAGAUUCAUGCUUAAAAUUAUAUUGUUCAGACGCAUCUUUGCGUGCUUGUUUUGCUUUAACCCGUCGCCUAGCCGUGAAGCACUCUGCUGCAGCCUCUCACUUCACCGUCGACGACACUCUGCUCCAACCCGUCACUUCGAUGUGAAGCCCUCUGCUGCAGCCUCUCACUUCACCGUAGACGACACACUGCUCCAACCCGUCUCUGUCCAGUCCCAGACAAACCUGUUGUAAAGAAGUGCUUAUAAUUUCUCAUGCCCUCAACUACUAUUUUAGCUUUAGUAUGCUCUGGGUAUAAGCAUGGCCGCUACAAUGGUCAGUACCAAGGGCAGUGUCCUCCUGCUGGCGGGGUUCCAAAGUGGAUGUGGAACGCCAUGACCAAGAUCUUCAAAUGUCCAAUGUUUCAUAGACUAUAUCCAUGACAGAGGAACGACCGAUAUAUUGUUAAAAGAAUGAAAGUAUGCCCUGCCUGAAGAUUUUAGCUUUCUUUCUCUUGAGAAGAUAGAAGCUCUAAUGAUUUGGAUUACUUCAAGAAGGACAUAUAAGCACAAAAUAACAAAAAGAUGACCAUGAAGGCUAGAGCCACCGAUGCAGAGAAGAACGUGCAAGAGCUGAAUGCUAAGCCGGAUAGACUUCAAAAGACAAACGGCGAGCAAACGGUUAGGAUUCAAAAGACUAAAAGUGUUCUUAAAGGUGCAGAGGAGGAGCUGAUGAAGGUGCAGUCAGAAGCAACACCAAAAUCAGAGCAGCUCAGAGAGAAAGAAAAGCAGCCGAAGGGGCGCCUCCCACCUGGUACCACCCAACUUCCUCUUAAGCGGCGCCACCCGGUGGCGCCCCAACCGCUAGUUACAAUGUUGUGUGGCUGCUAGCUCUAGUCCCAUGCGAUUCUUCUCCACUCUUAGCUUUAGUUUCUACAUACGUCAUGUGUGGAAAGAAGAUGACUUGGCUUAACAGCGAAGCCCAAUUGCGUUGCAGAUCAUAAGUAGAGGGGGACCAAGGCGAUAUUAUUGUGAUUUACCAGAGGAACGAUAUUUCCCAACUUAGAGAGAAUAGAGAUUAUCUUGUCUCAUUAAUUCAGAAUAUUAUCGGUCAAUAUUACA